This 498-nucleotide small RNA is filed under the name Pan troglodytes (chimpanzee). RNAcentral describes it as "retained intron". The record is from RNAcentral. Lineage: Eukaryota; Metazoa; Chordata; Mammalia; Primates; Hominidae.
AAAAAAAAAAAAAAAAAAAGAAUUCUCAUCUCCAUAUUGAAGGUGAAGGUUCACUUAACAACCUUCUUCUCCAUAUUUCUUCCCUCCCCCAGUUUAAGUGCUGUGGGGCUGCUAACUACACAGAUUGGGAGAAAAUCCCUUCCAUGUCGAAGAACCGAGUCCCCGACUCCUGCUGCGUUAAUGUUACUGUGGGCUGUGGGAUUAAUUUCAACGAGAAGGCGAUCCAUAAGGAGGGCUGUGUGGAGAAGAUUGGGGGCUGGCUGAGGAAAAAUGUGCUGGUGGUAGCUGCAGCAGCCCUUGGAAUUGCUUUUGUCGAGGUUUUGGGAAUUGUCUUUGCCUGCUGCCUCGUGAAGAGUAUCAGAAGUGGCUACGAGGUGAUGUAGGGGUCUGGUCUCCUCAGCCUCCUCAUCUGGGGGAGUGGAAUAGUAUCCUCCAGGUUUUUCAAUUAAACGGAUUAUUUUUUCAGACCGAAAAGAGAGAUGGUCUGAGUUUGUCUUA